UACGUAGGGUGCGAGCGUUGUCCGGAAUUACUGGGCGUAAAGAGUUCGUAGGCGGUUUGUCGCGUCGUUCGUGAAAACUUGGGGCUUAACUCCAAGCGUGCGGGCGAUACGGGCAGACUUGAGUACUACAGGGGAGACUGGAAUUCCAGGUGUAGCGGUGAAAUGCGUAGAGAUCCGGAGGAACACCGACGGCGUAGGCAGCGCCCUGGACGACACCUGACGCUGAGGCACGAAAGCUGGGGGAGCGAACAGG
Molecule: ribosomal RNA, 253 nt
Filed under: uncultured bacterium
Lineage: Bacteria
Description: partial 16S ribosomal RNA
Rfam family: Bacterial small subunit ribosomal RNA
Source: RNAcentral